AUGAAUGGGAGGUCCAAGGGGCUCCGGGCGGCCGUGACCCUGCUGGAGUUCGGGGGGGACCUCCAGCCCCCCGGGGGUUCCCUGCGCCUCCUCUGCCGAGGGUCCGGCUUCAGUUUUGGGAAUUAUGAAAUGGAUUGGGUUCGCCAGAGACCUGGACAGGGGCUGGAGUGGGUCGGGAGCAUCAACACUCGUGGCAGCACCUACCACGCGCCCUCAGUCAAGGGCCGGGUCACGAUCUCCAGGGACAACGGGCAGAGCUCGGUGAUGCUGACCAUGAACAACCUCAAGGACGAGGAUUCCGCCGUCUAUUUCUGUGCCAAAGCUCCUGGUGGUGGUGGUGCUGCUCCUGCUGGUUAA
Passer domesticus (house sparrow) is the source of this 357-nucleotide non-coding RNA. NCBI's taxonomy places the organism in Eukaryota, Metazoa, Chordata, Aves, Passeriformes, Passeridae. The record is from the annotation of a RefSeq genome assembly.